This is a long non-coding RNA of Ictalurus punctatus (channel catfish), 837 nucleotides long. RefSeq lists it as uncharacterized. The record is from RefSeq and is a predicted model, not a curated record. The transcript is spliced from 2 exons. NCBI's taxonomy places the organism in Eukaryota, Metazoa, Chordata, Actinopteri, Siluriformes, Ictaluridae.
CCUGUUCUCCACAGCGGUUUUAUCAGUCCCAAACACACACAGGAAUUCCGGUUUGGGAAUGACCGUCCGAUUCCCAGCUUCCACAGGAAGGCAGAAUAAAAAGCAGCUCAUCGUUGGGAAAGGCGUCUCAUUUUCCUGCAGUCCAGCUACAGGCACAGAGCUCACACCAAACAUCUCCACACCAUGUCUCCAAACCUCCAGCGGCUGUGACGGGACUCUCCACACACUCAGCUCUCCUGCUACACUGGCAUCGGACAUUAAACAGCUGGAACAGGAGGUCCCUGAUCAACUGAGCAGAUGAAGGGUGAUCUAAUAUCACAGCUACUGGCCUGCUUCCCAGCUCAUUAUUACUUUUGGUACGCGCUAGGCCUGCCUCAAACUCGUACCGUGAGUAAUAAUGCACUGUGGCAGGCAUUAAGCUACCUGACACUGCAGCUACAGCUCUGGAGUCCAGUAAAAGAGGAGCAUCGUGAAGACCAUCAGUCUGCAUUUCACAUGUGAUUUUUACUCUUUGCAUUUGCACUGUAUGUAAAAAAAUGUUUAAAUGAAUGAGUGUGUGAAAUGGCAGUUACUGGUGACAUUGGAGAAAUAGGUUCGAGUGUUGAGACGUAUGGCCUGUGGUUUUUCAGGUGACAUGUAAAGUGCAUUAUAAUGUGGGGUUUCAGUUCAAUACAGAAUCAUAUGUUAUUAUUAUUAUUAUUAUUAUUAUUAUUAUUAUUAUUAUGUGACAGUAUGAUGAUAAAUUAUACAUGUUUUUAUCUACAUGCACCUUUGUCUUAAUUAUAUUGGAUAUUGGGAAAUAAGUUUGUAUUUUAAUAAAUAUUUAAUAAUUAAUUA